RNAcentral lists this ribosomal RNA (497 nucleotides) under uncultured bacterium. RNAcentral describes it as "partial 16S ribosomal RNA". It matches the Rfam family "Bacterial small subunit ribosomal RNA", at positions 28 to 507 of the family's 1533-position model. The record is from RNAcentral.
GAUGAACGCUGGCGGCGUGCCUAAUACAUGCAAGUCGAGCGAACAGAUGAGGAGCUUGCUCCUCUGACGUUAGCGGCGGACGGGUGAGUAACACGUGGAUAACCUACCUAUAAGACUGGGAUAACUUCGAGAAACCGGAGCUAAUACCGGAUAAUAUAUUGAACCGCAUGGUUCAAUAGUGAAAGACGGUUUUGCUGUCACUUAUAGAUGGAUCCGCGCCGCAUUAGCUAGUUGGUAAGGUAACGGCUUACCAAGGCAACGAUGCGUAGCCGACCUGAGAGGGUGAUCGGCCACACUGGAACUGAGACACGGUCCAGACUCCUACGGGAGGCAGCAGUAGGGAAUCUUCCGCAAUGGGCGAAAGCCUGACGGAGCAACGCCGCGUGAGUGAUGAAGGUCUUCGGAUCGUAAAACUCUGUUAUUAGGGAAGAACAAAUGUGUAAGUAACUAUGCACGUCUUGACGGUACCUAAUCAGAAAGCCACGGCUAGCUACGUG